UACGGGGGGGGCAAGCGUUGUUCGGAAUUACUGGGCGUAAAGGGCUCGUAGGCGGCCAACUAAGUCAGACGUGAAAUCCCUCGGCUUAACCGGGGAACUGCAUCUGAUACUGGAUGGCUUGAGAUUGGGAGAGGGAUGCGGAAUUCCAGGUGUAGCGGUGAAAUGCGUAGAUAUCUGGAGGAACACCGGUGGCGAAGGCGGCAUCCUGGACCAACACUGACGCUGAGGAGCGAAAGCCAGGGGAGCAAACGGG
Molecule: ribosomal RNA, 253 nt
Filed under: uncultured bacterium
Lineage: Bacteria
Also listed under: 1 other name
Description: partial 16S ribosomal RNA
Rfam family: Bacterial small subunit ribosomal RNA
Source: RNAcentral